UACGUAGGGGGCAAGCGUUGUCCGGAUUUAUUGGGCGUAAAGAGCGUGUAGGCGGCUUUACAGGUCCGUUGUGAAAACUCGAGGCUCAACUUCGAGACGCCGGUGGAAACCGUAAAGCUAGAGUCCGGAAGAGGAGAGUGGAAUUCCUGGUGUAGCGGUGAAAUGCGCAGAUAUCAGGAGGAACACCCGUGGCGAAAGCGGCUCACUGGACCGGUACUGACGCUGAUGCGCGAAAGCGUGGGGAGCAAACAGG
Molecule: ribosomal RNA, 253 nt
Filed under: uncultured bacterium
Lineage: Bacteria
Description: partial 16S ribosomal RNA
Rfam family: Bacterial small subunit ribosomal RNA
Source: RNAcentral